CCCUUAGAUGUCCUGGGCCGCACGCGCGCUACACUGAUGCAUUCAACGAGUGUACCUUGGCCGAGAGGCCUGGGCAAUCUUUUGAACGUGCAUCGUGAUAGGGAUAGAUUAUUGCAAUUAUUAAUCUUGAACGAGGAAUUCCUAGUAAACGCAGAUCAUCAAUCUGCAUUGAUUACGUCCCUGCCCUUUGUACACACCGCCCGUCGCACCUACCGAUUGGAUGGUCCGGUGAAGCCUCGGGAUUGUGGCGGUUGCCUUUAUUGGUGGCCGCCGCGAGAACUUGUCUAAACCUUAUCAUCUAGAGGAAGGUGAANUCGUAACA
This 322-nucleotide ribosomal RNA is filed under the name uncultured eukaryote. RNAcentral describes it as "partial 18S ribosomal RNA". It matches the Rfam family "Eukaryotic small subunit ribosomal RNA", at positions 1470 to 1796 of the family's 1831-position model. The record is from RNAcentral.